ACCAGAGAAACAAUUUGGCAGUACCGUGAUUUAUGUAAAAAGUUAUUGAAAGUACAACUAAAUUUAAAUUUAAAAGAACACAUCAUCACCACGUUUAAUAUUUUUCUGUAGCCUAGUUUUGAAAACCAUUAGUAGUAAUAAACUUUCCUCCCAUAAAAGUUCUGCCAUUUUAAUUUCCAAUUAGAACUUGCAAAAGAUAUAUACGUGGCAGUAAAAGUAAAGUCUCAGACCAUGCUGCAGCCUGACACAAUGAUGCCCCAAUGCUCAUAAAUCAGUUUCUGUUUGUUGUGAACCUCUUAAAUCCACACUGGUAAGAGGUGUAGAGGUAUUUGUCUCCCAUGAAAACAUUCUCCCACACCCUUUGUAAUUAAAAGUAAUCUUAAAUUUCAUCUAGUUCCAUGAGAAAGAGCUUUCAUACAGUAAUUUGAGUUGGACUCCAGAACGAUGGAAUGUAUCUGCUCCAUCCUCUCGUUCUUAUCCUGAAUUAUGCUGGGAUCGCCAUCAUGGGCCACGAGAAGCCUUCUGCCGUUUCCAGACAGCGGGACAGUUCUGCAUCCCUGUGCCAGGAGCUGAAGUGGAUGGCACUUUGGGUGAAACCAGGACUUCUCCACCACAUACCUGUGCCCCCGGAGACGGUCGGGUCCCCUGAAAGCUCCAUUGUUCUUCCUGCCCUAUUGCACGCACGGUGAUUAUAUAGCCUUGGAUAAGCAGUAAUACGUUGCUUGCUGAAAUAAUAACCUAUCCUCAGUUUAAACAGUGCUAUAUUUAAGAUUUAUAUAUAUUUAAAUGUCGGUAGUAUGUGACAUAUUAUCAUUUGGAUGACAGUUUGUAAAUAAGAUAUUGGAAAGAAAAGCAUCAGCUGCAUUUAGGGAGGUAAAUCUUGGGGUCAGGCAGGACGGCCGGAUCCAUGUGGAUUUUAAAGAAGCCUCAGAACCUCUUGGGGUUGGGGAUGGGCAAGGACCCUGCCUGGGUCCGAGAUCCAGGAAACCCCGAUUACUGCUUCCAUGUCUGAAGGUCAAUCUUUUUUUGUAGCCCUUUUAACUUGUCUUUAUUCCCUAACAUGAAAAAAAGGGCUAACAGCAUUUUCCUACCACAGUGGGAUGUUGGCCGACCGUUGUAAAUAGCUCUAAACCAAGACACAGGUGUAAAAGCUCUGCAGGUCAGCGUGGCCAUCACGGGUCAGCGUUAGUCCCACCCAAAGUGGGUCUCAGCACUCAAAUCUGCUUUUACUCCCCAGUUUGGUUUCUACGCAGGGAGGGAGCUGAUGAGAGGAG
This 1274-nucleotide long non-coding RNA is filed under the name Calidris pugnax (ruff). Its description in RNAcentral is "lncRNA (ENSCPUG00000006583.1)". Lineage: Eukaryota; Metazoa; Chordata; Aves; Charadriiformes; Scolopacidae. The record is from RNAcentral.